AGGCAUGGAUCGUAAGGAAGCCCUGAAAAAUUUUCUGGAAGCCAAAAUAAGCAAUUUGUCGGAUAUCGAGAGUCACUGCAAUGCCUUGAACGAGAGAAAGGAGCGGAUUUUUGCGGAAAUCUCACAGUUUAAGAUGGAAUUGAAACACACAGGAC
This is a long non-coding RNA of Daphnia pulicaria, 155 nucleotides long. RefSeq lists it as uncharacterized. The transcript has 3 exons. NCBI's taxonomy places the organism in Eukaryota, Metazoa, Arthropoda, Branchiopoda, Diplostraca, Daphniidae. The record is from RefSeq and is a predicted model, not a curated record.